Molecule: ribosomal RNA, 250 nt
Filed under: uncultured bacterium
Lineage: Bacteria
Description: partial 16S ribosomal RNA
Rfam family: Bacterial small subunit ribosomal RNA
Source: RNAcentral
AUGUCGACUUGGAGGUUGUGCCCUUGAGGCGUGGCUUCCGGAGCUAACGCGUUAAGUCGACCGCCUGGGGAGUACGGCCGCAAGGUUAAAACUCAAAUGAAUUGACGGGGGCCCGCACAAGCGGUGGAGCAUGUGGUUUAAUUCGAUGCAACGCGAAGAACCUUACCUACUCUUGACAUCCAGAGAACUUAGCAGAGAUGCUUUGGUGCCUUCGGGAACUCUGAGACAGGUGCUGCAUGGCUGUCGUCAG